Molecule: long non-coding RNA, 322 nt
Filed under: Setaria viridis
Lineage: Eukaryota; Viridiplantae; Streptophyta; Magnoliopsida; Poales; Poaceae
Description: long non-coding RNA (SVIR_LNC006859)
Source: RNAcentral
UGAAAAAGAAGCUACUUGGGAAUGCGAAGAUGCGUUGAAGAAGGAGUUUCCCUAUCUCUUCAGAGCUCAGCCAAAUCUCGAGGAUGAGAUUCAAUUUAAGUGGGGUAGGUUUGUAACAUCCGUAAAAAUCACCAACUUAAAUCACCCGCUAAAAUUUAUUUUCAAAAUCUUUUAACCAUUGACCUCCUGAAAAUCCCGUCUUCCCGGCAAUUUCACCAUCCCAGCACCCAAAGGCGACAACCAUCAUUUUUAUCAUCUCCACAAAUUUAGCUGUGUGCCGAUCGAAAAACCGCCGCACGUGCUCCGACCAUUUUCCGCAAUC